RNAcentral lists this signal recognition particle RNA (101 nucleotides) under Acidobacteriota bacterium. RNAcentral describes it as "signal recognition particle sRNA small type". It matches the Rfam family "Bacterial small signal recognition particle RNA". From Rfam's summary of the family: The signal recognition particle (SRP) is a universally conserved ribonucleoprotein involved in the co-translational targeting of proteins to membranes. The record is from RNAcentral. Lineage: Bacteria; Pseudomonadati; Acidobacteriota.
GGCCCGGACCCUGUGCGAUCCGAGCCUGCGAACCGCGUCAGGGCCGGAAGGCAGCAGCGCUAAGCAGUGUCUCCGAUGCGCCGCAGGCAAUCCGGGCUGCG